AGGACGACGCUGGCGGCGUGCCUAGUACAUGCAAGUCGAACGGUCUUUCUAUGGAAGCUUGCUUCCACUGAGAAGAUAGUGGCGAACGGGUGAGUAACACGUGGGGUAACCUGCCCAUAAGAGGGGGGAUAACAUCCGGAAACGGGUGCUAAUACCGCAUAGUUUUCUUGAUCGCAUGAUCGGGAAAGGAAAGACGGCCUUUGUGCUGUCGCUUAUGGAUGGACCCGCGGCGUAUUAGUUAGUUGGUGAGGUAACGGCUCACCAAGACGAUGAUACGUAGCCGACCUGAGAGGGUGAUCGGCCACAUUGGGACUGAGACACGGCCCAAACUCCUACGGGAGGCAGCAGUAGGGAAUCUUCCGCAAUGGACGAAAGUCUGACGGAGCAACGCCGCGUGAGUGAAGAAAGGUUUUCGGAUCGUAAAACUCUGUUGUCAGAGAAGAACAAGUUGGAGAGUAACUGCUCCAGCCUUGACGGUAUCUGACCAGAAAGCCACGGCUAACUACGUGCCAGCCGCCGC
Molecule: ribosomal RNA, 520 nt
Filed under: uncultured bacterium
Lineage: Bacteria
Description: bacterial SSU rRNA
Rfam family: Bacterial small subunit ribosomal RNA
Source: RNAcentral